GAUCCUGGCUCAGGAUGAACGCUAGCUACAGGCUUAACACAUGCAAGUCGAGGGGAAACGACAUCGAAAGCUUGCUUUUGAUGGGCGUCGACCGGCGCACGGGUGAGUAACGCGUAUCCAAUCUGCCCACCACUUGGGGAUAACCUUGCGAAAGUAAGACUAAUACCCAAUGAUAUCUCUAGAAGACAUCUGAAAGAGAUUAAAGAUUUAUCGGUGAUGGAUGGGGAUGCGU
This 232-nucleotide ribosomal RNA is filed under the name uncultured bacterium. RNAcentral's name for it is "partial 16S ribosomal RNA". It matches the Rfam family "Bacterial small subunit ribosomal RNA", at positions 15 to 236 of the family's 1533-position model. The record is from RNAcentral.